RNAcentral lists this transfer RNA (73 nucleotides) under Felis catus (domestic cat). It matches the Rfam family "tRNA". Rfam says of the family: Transfer RNA (tRNA) molecules are approximately 80 nucleotides in length. Their secondary structure includes four short double-helical elements and three loops (D, anti-codon, and T loops). RNAcentral also lists the same sequence under 2 other names. Lineage: Eukaryota; Metazoa; Chordata; Mammalia; Carnivora; Felidae. The record is from Rfam by way of RNAcentral.
GCCUGGCUGGCUCAGUGGGAGGAGCAUGUGACUCUUGAUCUCAGGGUCAUGGGUUUGAGCCCCACAUUGGGUA